This 429-nucleotide ribosomal RNA is filed under the name uncultured bacterium. RNAcentral's name for it is "bacterial SSU rRNA". It matches the Rfam family "Bacterial small subunit ribosomal RNA", at positions 28 to 500 of the family's 1533-position model. The record is from RNAcentral.
GAUGAACGCUGGCGGCGUGCCUUAGGCAUGCAAGUGGAACGGGCUGACUUCGGUCAGCUAGUCGCGAACGGCUGAGUAACACGUAGGAAUCUACCUCUUGGUGGGGAAUAACUAACUGAAAGGUUAGCUAAUACCGCAUAAGAUCUUUGAUGAAAGGGCAUAACUGCUCGCCGAGAGAGGAGCCUGCGGCCUAUCAGCUUGUUGGUGAGGUAAUGGCUCACCAAGGCUACGACGGGUAGGGGGCGUGAGAGCGUGUACCCCCAGAAUGGCACUGAGAAACGGGCCAUACACCUNACGGGUGGCAGCAACCGGGAAUUGUGCGCAAUGGACGAAAGUCUGACGCCGCGACGCCGCGUGAGGGACGAAGGCCUUUGGGUUGUAAACCUCUUUUGCCAGAAGGAGACCGACUGGAGAAUAAGCACCCGCUAA